CACCAAAAAAAUUCUAUAAAUAUAAAUAUGCAAAUACACACACACACACACCCCCCAACUGCCAUUUCAAAUAUAAACCUAAAAUAGUAGCUCCAGUCUUCCCAAUCUAAGCUGCUGCCAAUCCACCCCACCUCCAUUAUUCCAGCUCCUGCUGGCCUCUGGUAACAUACAGUUUCUUCCUCUUGUCUCUUCACACUUACGGUUGGUAAUGGCUUCCUGCUGUUGAAGUUUCUUUGUGCCUCAUCAUCACUUCUUUGUUCCCUCAGCCCUGACCACACCUCUGCAAGAGAUGCCAACAUAGUCUCAAGUGUCCACCUGAUCCAAGAAGCUCACUCCUCACCAGCAUCCCUCUCCAACCCAUUGUCCAGUCCAGUCCAUGUCUGAAGAGUUGGCUUUGGGAAUGGUUCCUGACUGGGCCAACAAAAGGUCUGGGGGCCAGGACCACCGGGGUCCUUCCAGUCUCAGUCAGACCAUUAAGUCUGGUCUUAUGAGAAUUUGGGGUCUGCAUCGCACAGCUCUCCUGCUCCCUCAGGAGUUCUCUGUUGUGUUCCCUGUCAGGGCAGUCAUCAGUUGUAGCCGGGCACCAUCUAGUUCUUCUGGUCUUAGGAUGAUGUAGUCUCUGGUUCACGUGGCCCUUUCUGUCUCUUGGGCUCGUAAUCACCUUGUGUCCUUGGUGUUCCUCAUUCUCCUUUGAUCCAGAUGGGAUGAGACCAAUUGAUGCAUCUUAGACAGCUGCUUGCUAGCGUUUAAGACCCCAGACGCCACUCAAGACAAGAGAUCACCAUUCGGUAAUCUCAAAUUAGUCACCAGCCUGUUUCUUUCCAACUUGCUAAACUCUUUUUUUUUGGGGGGGGGGGUAAUAAAUAAGAUUAAAUCCCUUUAAUCUACAUGAAAUGGCACAACAUAGUUCUUAAAGACAAUGCUCUACAUCCUACUUUGGUGAAUAGUGUCUAGGAUCUUAAAAGCUUAUGAGCGGCCAUCUGAGAUACAGCUAUUGGUCUCUUCCAGUCUGGAGCAAAGCAGAGUGAGAAAAACCAAAGACUCAAGGGAGCAACGAGUUCAAAGGACUAAUGGACCACAUGAACCACAGCCUACACGACCCCAAGACCAGAAGAACUAGAUGGUGCCUGGCUACUACUACCUACUGCUGUUACUGGGAUUACAAGAGGGUCCCAUACAGAGCAGGAGUAAAAUGUAGAAUAAAAGAUGAAAGUCACAAACAAGACCAGACUUACUGGUGUGACAGAGAAUGGAGGAUCUCUGAGACCCUGUCCCUAAGAUACCCUUCUGACCUGAACUAAAGCUGUUCCUGGAGACCACCUUCCAGCCAAACAGACGAGCCCAUAAAAUAAACAAUAACACCUGAGAUGAACGUGCUCCUUAAAACAAUCAAUUAUGAGAGAUCAAAAGGCAAUAUUUGCCCAAAAGCAAAAAUGAGAAGGCAGGAAGGGGUAGAAAAUCAAGAUGAAAAGAAAUGGGGAAUCUAGGGUGGAAACUGGGAGAGUGCUGACACAUUGUGGGGAAUGACGCUAAGGCCAUGAAAUACUUUAUGUACAAUCGGAUAGGAAUCUAAUCUGCUCUGAAAAGUUUCACCUGAUGCACAAAAAAAAAAAAGCUUAAGUUCCUUUAAUUGGAUUCAGACUAAGGAAAUCUACAAGCUGAGUUAAGAGAAACUACAAAGUCAGCUCACUAGGUCCAGAGUGGAUAUUCCUGGCCUUUGUGAAUUCAAACUGGAACCCCAUAUACUCCUUCUAAACGACACCAUUUAUGCCACUAGUUAGACUUUCCGCAUUCUUGAAUGCAGUGGCCUUUACACAAGGCAGUGACAGUAGCAUUAGUUGGUUUAAUUGAAUUACAUACAGAAUUACUUUAUCAGUGUGAAACUGUAGUCUUUUCCACCAGAAAGGAACGGUCCAAAGAGGUACCCCACUGUCUUUUAAAACAAUGCAGGGCACUGCAAUGAAACCUGCAAUGAACAGGACUCCAAGAGUCCCAAGCUUGGCCAGUGAACCAAGUCCACUGAGGACUAUCAAUGUAAAUACAUAUAGUCAUAAGAAGUAGGGGGACUCUAUUUUAAUUACCCAAGCAUGGCCUACCACAAGUCUGAUUUUUCCCAAAUGGUUGCAUUUUAAUUACCCAAGCAUGGCCUACCACAAGUCUGAUUUUUCCCAAAUGGUUGCAUUUCCCAAAUAGGUAUUACCAAAUGUGCAGUAAGUUGUAUCCUUCGCCACCAGAGGGCGCAGUCUUCCACUCUAGGCUUGCCCAGAAAAACUGACGAAGGACAUCUGGGGAAAGUCGGCUCACGAUCCCAGUCAUCUAUAACAGCAAUCGCUGCCAGAAGUAACUGAGUCAAGGGAACCAAAAUGGGAAGUGAGAAACUAUCUAGAAACCUAAAUAAUUAUGGGACCUUAAAUUUUAAUCCUCAAGUUCCCCUCUCAUGUACAUAUUCAGCAUUUUCCAGGUCUUCAACAAUUAUUUCCCCCUUUUCGGUUUGUUUCCCCAUAUGGCCAAAUGUAUUUUAUAUUUAUUUUUUCUCGGUUUUUGGGUUAGUAGAUUAUGAAAUAAUGAUAAAUGGCUCUAGCUUAAUUGAUGGGUUAUCAUCAAAUGGCUCCCCAAUACAUCGUAAACAAAAUAUCUUGAAAACUGUCAUUUCAGAACUCUAUGUCUACAUAUUAAUUUUCCUAACCUAGGAUUCUUUUCUAUCUCAAUCCAAUAAAUAAGGUAAUUCUAUUUCUACUUCUUUCUCCCAUGUUUUGGCAAAAAUAGAUUAAGAACUUCUCAUUGCUGUUUCAUUGGGUCCUUUCAAGUGGAUCUGAAUGUGUCCAUUUUAUUGGCCAGAUCCUUACAUAUGUAUCAUCCUUACCCAUCCCUUGGUCCUGUUCACCAUGGAAACAAUGCAUGAUGAGGGGACAGAAGCAAGGAUGAAAUUCAAAACCAGGGUAGUAAGCAUGUGAGCUGAUGCUAGGGCUAGAGGAGAAGGGAGAUUCAGGGGGUUAUCAGUCUCAAAUAACCUAGAGCUAUGCUAGCCAGUAUGGUAGUCAUUAGCCACAUGUGGCUAUUUAAAUUUAAAUUAAUUAAAAUAAAAUUUAAAAUUCAGUUCCUCGGUUGCAUUAGCCACAUUUUUUUUUAAUUUUUACUGUGCUUUAAGUGAAAGUUUACAAAUCAAGUCAGUCUCUCACACAAAAACUUACAUACACCUUGCUACAUACUCCCAAUUGCUCUCCCCCUAGUGAGACAGCCUGCUCCCUCCCUCCAUUCUCUCUUUUCGUGUCCAUUUCACCAGCUUCUAACCCCCUCUACCAUCUCAUCUCCCCUCCAGGGAGGAAAUGUCAACAUAGUCUCAAGUUGCACUAGCCACAUUUUAAGUGCACAGUAGCCGCAUGUGACUAAUUACCCACCGUAUUGGGCAGUGCAGAUAGAUACAAACCUUUCCAUCAUCAUAAAAAGCUCUAUUGAACAGUGUUAAUCUAGAGACUAGGGAUUUAAUUAAUACCCAUAUGGGGCAAAAGAUAAGGCCAUGGACACCAAACACACACACACACACACACAGUGGCCACAGUGGAAAGAUGAAUUUCUUUUAAUCUGCACCAACCUAAGGAAAUUACAAGAACCUUGUUUGUCUUGGCCUGGGUUCUGGGUAGGAAAUAUAGUCUCCCUGGAGAAUAAGGAAAAAAGUAAAAACACCAUGAGGAAACAAUCAAGCACAUUCAGAUGUAGAACGUUCUGUAAGGCAGCUGAUCUGGACUUUCAAAAAAGUCAAUGUCAUGAAAAACAAAAAAUGACUAGGUGGAGAGGACUGUUCUAGAUUAAAAAAGACUAGAGAGACAUAACCAAACAUAAUGCACAACUGUAAUCAAAUCCUGUAUUUUAAAAAAUGACCAUAAAAUGCAUUUCAGAGAACAAUAACCCAAAGGAUAUUUAAACACAGACUGCAUAUUGGAUAUUAUGGAACUAUUAAUUUCUCAGUUGCUAGGAUAUUAGUAUGGUUGGUAGGAGACUGUCAUUCUUAGGCAAUGUAUGCUGAAAUAUUAAGAGAAGAAAUAUAAUGAUGUCUACAACUUAUUUUCAAAUGGGGAUGAAAAGCAUACAACCAAAAAAAAAAAACCAAACAAACAAAAAUAAAUACAGUCAAUUCCAACUCAUAGCGACCCUACACUACAGAGUAGAACUGCCCCGGGUUUCCAAGGCUGUAAUCCUUACAGAACCAGACUUCCACAUCUUUCUUCUACAGACCAUCUGGUGGGUUUGAACCACCGACCUUUAGGUUAACAGCCAAGUGCUUAACCACUGUGCCCACAGGGGUUCCUUCUGAAAACUAUAUAAAUAUUAUACAUAUAUAUGCAUAUGGAAAGAGAAAGAGUAGAAAGAAACUGGGAAAACAUUAAACAAUUUGUGAAUCUAACCUUCAAACUUUUCUGUAAAUUUGAGUUUUUUUUUUAACUAAAAAGCUAGGGGAAGAACUCCCCUGAGAUAUGUACUCAUAAGCCUGUGCCUCGCACAAAUUUUAGUCCUCUCUCUUCAUGUGGUCCUUCUCUUCCCAUGGUUUCUUAUCUUCAAGGCAGCAGGGCCCCAAGAGAGCUAAAGCAGACACUGCAAGGCAGGACAUCUAAAGGAGAAAAGAUAACCUCUCAACCAACAAAAGAAGUCAGACAAAAGUAAAACUCAAAGUACUAAGAGGAAACAGCUAUUAAACUAAAUGCAAUCAUGCAAGAAAAAAAAAAAAAAGCAAGAGUAAGCAUAAAA
Molecule: long non-coding RNA, 4743 nt
Organism: Loxodonta africana (African savanna elephant)
Lineage: Eukaryota; Metazoa; Chordata; Mammalia; Proboscidea; Elephantidae
Exons: 2
Source: RefSeq, a predicted model, not a curated record